This 253-nucleotide ribosomal RNA is filed under the name uncultured bacterium. RNAcentral's name for it is "partial 16S ribosomal RNA". It matches the Rfam family "Bacterial small subunit ribosomal RNA", at positions 524 to 776 of the family's 1533-position model. The record is from RNAcentral. RNAcentral also lists the same sequence under 1 other name.
UACGGGGGGGGCAAGCGUUGUUCGGAAUUACUGGGCGUAAAGGGCUCGUAGGUGGCCAACUAAGUCAGACGUGAAAUCCCCAGGCUUAACCUGGGAACUGCGUCUGAUACUGGAUGGCUUGAAUUCGGGAGAGGGAUGCAGAAUUCCAGGUGUAGCGGUGAAAUGCGUAGAUAUCUGGAGGAAUACCGGUGGCGAAGGCGGCAUCCUGGACCGAGAUUGACACUGAUGAGCGAAAGCCAGGGGAGCAAACGGG